RNAcentral lists this transfer RNA (77 nucleotides) under Sulfurovum sp. RNAcentral's name for it is "tRNA-Thr". It matches the Rfam family "tRNA". From Rfam's summary of the family: Transfer RNA (tRNA) molecules are approximately 80 nucleotides in length. Their secondary structure includes four short double-helical elements and three loops (D, anti-codon, and T loops). Lineage: Bacteria; Pseudomonadati; Campylobacterota; Epsilonproteobacteria; Campylobacterales; Sulfurovaceae. The record is from RNAcentral. RNAcentral also lists the same sequence under 1 other name.
GCUGGUGUAGCUCAGCUGGCUAGAGCAGCUGAUUUGUAAUCAGCAGGUCGGGGGUUCGAGUCCCUUUACCAGCUCCA